UAAAAUUAACAUUUCAAAUUAAUUUUGGCACAAUUCUAAAUUUGAAUUUUUGAAAAUUUAUGCAAUCAGUAUUCUUUUGCUGCAAGAACUUAAACUUUUUCCACCUGCUGAACACUCCCAUUUUAUCUUUCUCAGACCUUUCUCCCCAAUUGUUCCCAACAUAUUAUUUUGUCUCCCAUCUAAUAACCCAGCAAGUACUAUCGUUUUAUUCCCGCCUUUGUGCAUGUACGCCGCCUGAAAUUCGCCUCCGAGACAUGACAAGAACUGUAUGUCCUGCAAGCUCUCAGGGCAGGCUGUUUCUAAUACCUCGUCUGACAUGAGCACUUUAUGGCGUGAUCUCGAGUCAUUUUCAUCAACGUCCAGUCAUGCCUCCGGUCUCAGUAGAGCCCCAUUCCCACUGUCAACGCAGUUUUCGCCCCCCCCCCCCCUUCUCCAAGCUUUCCUGGGAACACUGGCCAGAGCAUUGACCGGCCACUAACCCCGGCCAGGGUCGGCCUAUCCCAAGGCCACGACUCCAGUCCCAGAAAGUACUGCUUAUGCACUCUAGUGGCAGUGUUGCGAAUUAUUUCCCCUGGCGCCUUGUGCUACAAAAAGUACCCCGUAGUUCAUUCCCAGGUCACCAGAGUGCUGGACUAGUCCCGUCCAUAAGAUUAAAGUUUUAGCAGUCACCUCGUGUGAGUCGAUCACUCUUUGGUUCGGUCACCCCUCAGUAUGUCGCGCUGACAUCGGCCAGUAACACCAACUUCGAGAUAUCGAAGUCAGUAUUUCUUGACAUGCUCCUCGAUAAUCUUCGGAACCUUUCGGUCUGAAAGACGAGGCCUCCCCCCCCCCCUUUUCUUUUGAUUGCCAUCAUCUUUUAAUUACGAGUCGCUGCCAUCCAAAACGAACUUCGCACCGCGAUUUCAGGUGGACCACACCGCAUCGUCGACAUUGAGACUUCACUCCAUGCGUCGUUUAAAGAUGUAAUCAGCUAAGCAAGUGAUGUGAUUCCCACAACUUUAGUAAUUACUAAUUAGUCAUUCUGCGUACCUCUUAGAAGUAGUCAUGCUUCGUUUAUAAUACUGCUUAAUAUUUUCUACUUUUUUUUACAUGGAAACGUCCGCGACAACCGCGAGUUCGCGAGAUCCACAUCUUGGCUGAUAAUGGAAGCCAUCUCCCUGUAUGACAGGGUCCGAGGGCCGGACAGGUUCCAAGGGUCGUAUGAGGUUCCAAGGGCCUGAUACGGAACUGACCACUCCACCCUCGAGUCCUUCCUCCGGCAAUGGGGACGACUAAGGCGCCCUGACGCCUCGUUAGCAGCACAACUUCGGCCAGCCAUCGUCAAACUUCCAGUUCUUAAGUUGUUUUUUUUUGCAUCUUCAGAAUAAUAUUAAAUCACGACGUUGAAGAGAUCUGAUCACCAUAAAAAUUUUCUUUCGGGACUUUAUUCGGUCUAAGUGUGCUUAUUGUGAAAGCAACUUAACUGGUUUAUUGUUGUGAAUUUCAUUUAAAUUGUGUUAAUUAUCAAUGUAAUUGUCUAAUAAGGACCGGCCCAUUCUUUAGAUAAUGUAAUGUUGUUUGUAAUGUUAAUGUAAUUACAAAAUAUAAUAAUACAUUUGUCAAUCAAUUUAUAAAAUAUCACCUUACUGUGAAAAUAAUCAAAUGUUAAAUAAACAUAGAGGUACUUAUA
Long non-coding RNA from Bacillus rossius redtenbacheri, 1669 nucleotides. RefSeq lists it as uncharacterized. The transcript is spliced from 2 exons. Lineage: Eukaryota; Metazoa; Arthropoda; Insecta; Phasmatodea; Bacillidae. The record is from RefSeq and is a predicted model, not a curated record.